GAUGAACGCUGGCGGCGUGCCUAAUACAUGCAAGUCGAGCGAACAGACGAGGAGCUUGCUCCUCUGACGUUAGCGGCGGACGGGUGAGUAACACGUGGAUAACCUACCUAUAAGACUGGGAUAACUUCGGGAAACCGGAGCUAAUACCGGAUAAUAUAUUGAACCGCAUGGUUCAAUAGUGAAAGACGGUUUUGCUGUCACUUAUAGAUGGAUCCGCGCCGCAUUAGCUAGUUGGUAAGGUAACGGCUUACCAAGGCGACGAUGCGUAGCCGACCUGAGAGGGUGAUCGGCCACACGGGAACUGAGCCACGGUCCAGCCCCCUAGGGGAGGCAGCAGUGGGGAAUCUUCCGAAAUGGGCGAAAGCCUGACGGAGCAACGCGGCGUGAGUGAUGAAGGUCUUCGGAUCGUAAAACUCUGUUAUAGGGAAGAACAAAUGUGUAAGUAACUAUGCACGUCUUGACGGUACCUAAUCAGAAAGCCACGGCUAACUACGUG
RNAcentral lists this ribosomal RNA (496 nucleotides) under uncultured bacterium. Its description in RNAcentral is "partial 16S ribosomal RNA". It matches the Rfam family "Bacterial small subunit ribosomal RNA", at positions 28 to 507 of the family's 1533-position model. The record is from RNAcentral.